UACCUGGUUGAUCCUGCCAGUAGCAUAUGCUUGUCUCAAAGAUUAAGCCAUGCAUGUCUAAGUACAAGCCGCUAGUACGGCGAAACCGCGAAUGGCUCAAUAAAUCAGUUAUGGUUCCUUAGAUGCACGAUACAUUACUCGGAUAACUGUGGUAAUUCUAGAGCUAAUACGUGAACGCGAGCCCCGACUUCGGAAAGGGCGGUCUUAUUAGAGCAAAGCCAGUGGGGUCGCGAGACCCCUCACACAAUUGAUGAAUCUGAAUAACACAAACCAGAUCGCACGGUCCUCGAACCGGCGACACAUCUUUCAAAUGUCUGCCUUAUCACACUGUCGAUGGGAUGUUAUGCGCCUCCCAUGGUUGCAACGGGUAACGGGGAAUCGGGGUUCGAUUCCGGAGAGGGAGCCUGAGAAACGGCUACCACAUCCAAGGAAGGCAGCAGGCGCGCAAAUUACCCACUCCCGGCACGGGGAGGUAGUGACGAAAAAUAGCGAUGCCUUUGACUUAUACAGUCUGGGUGAUUGGAAUGAGCACACUUUAAAUCCUUUAGCGAGGAACGAUUGGAGGGCAAGUCUGGUGCCAGCAGCCGCGGUAACUCCAGCUCCAAUAGCGUAUAUUAAAGUUGUUGCGGUUAAAAAGCUCGUAGUCUGAAUUCUUGGUGUCGGUGGGUCCCUCGGCCUCACGGGUCGAAGGGGCUCUGCGCCGGUCUUCCGGGUUUGGCUGUUUCGUCGGGUACGGUUUUUCGGAGCCGGUCUCGCGUCGCAUCUAGCCCGGUCGCGGCCGGUGCUUUGCACCGCACCAGUGCGGCAUGUCUGAGUGGGGUCUGCCCUUCAAAAGGUGGACCAUCGCUCCUGCCAAAUCUACUUUGAACAAAUUAGAGUGCUCAAAGCAGGCGUGUACUCGCCCGAAUACAAUAGCAUGGAAUAGAAAAAUAAGACCUCGUCUGUGUUUCCGCUGGCCUAACAGAAUCCGAGGUAAUGGUCAAUAGGGACGGACGGGGGCAUUCGUACUGCGGCGAUAGAGGUGAAAUUCUUGGACCGCCGCAAGACGAACGACAGCGAAGGCAUUUGCCAAGAAUGUCUUCAUUGAUCAAGAACGAAAGUUAGAGGUUCGAAGGCGAUCAGAUACCGCCCUAGUUCUAACCAUAAACGAUGCCAACUAUCCAUUCGCCUCGGCUUUUACAAAUUAGGCCAGGCGAGCGGACUCCUACCAAGGGAAACCCAAGUCUACGGGUUCCGGGGGAAGUAUGGUUGCAAAGCUGAAACUUAAAGGAAUUGACGGAAGGGCACCACCAGGAGUGGAGCCUGCGGCUUAAUUUGACUCAACACGGGAAAUCUCACCAGGCCCGGACACUGUAAUGAUUGACAGAUUGAGAGCUCUUUCUUUGAUUCGGUGGGUGGUGGUGCAUGGCCGUUCUUAGUUGGUGGAGCGAUUUGUCUGGUUAAUUCCGAUAACGAACGAGACUCUUUUACGUUAAGUAGGGUUCGGGUCCUAUCAGACCGUGCCGUCGUGGCCUCGCCGUUCGCGCGGUCGGGUCCGGCGCGCGGUCGUAUCAGGUCGAGGUUUGGCGCCGCGACUCGCGAGGGUCGCGGUCCGCCACAGCCGAGGCCAGUCCGAACCGACAUCUUCUUAGCUAGACAAGCGGUAUACAACCGCAUGAAAAAGAGCAAUAACAGGUCUGUGAUGCCCUUAGAUGUCCUGGGCCGCACGCGCGCUACACUGCGAGAAUCAGCGCGUCUCAAACUCCUUGCCUGAAAAGGCCGGGUAACCGCUGAACCUCUCGCGUGGUUGGGAUUGAGGACUGCAAUGAUCCUCAUGAACCAGGAAUCCCUAGUAGGCGCGGGUCACUAGCCCGCGUCGAUUACGUCCCUGCCCUUUGUACACACCGCCCGUCGCUACUACCGAUUGAAUGAUUUAGUGAGGUCUUCGGACGGCGGUUCGAGCCUGGUGCAAACUCGGGCUAGAGCUGCUGAAAGAUGGCCGAACUUGAUCAUUUAGAGGAAGUAAAAGUCGUAACAAGGUUUCCGUAGGUGAACCUGCAGAUGGAUCAUUA
This 2051-nucleotide ribosomal RNA is filed under the name Macrothrix triserialis. RNAcentral's name for it is "SSU rRNA". It matches the Rfam family "Eukaryotic small subunit ribosomal RNA". The record is from RNAcentral. Lineage: Eukaryota; Metazoa; Arthropoda; Branchiopoda; Diplostraca; Macrotrichidae.